AAUGAACGCUGGCGGCAGGCCUAAAACAUGCAAGUCGAACGAGAAGCAUCCUUCGGGAUGUGGACAGUGGCGCACGGGUGAGUAACAUGUGGGAAUAUGCCUCUUGGUACGGAACAACAGUUGGAAACGACUGCUAAUGCCGUAUAGUCCCUCCGGGGUAAAGAUUUAUCGCCAAGAGAUUAGCCCGCAUUAGAUUAGCUUGUUGGUGAGGUAAUGGCUCACCAAGGCGACGAUCUAUAGCUGGUCUGAGAGGACGAUCAGCCACACUGGGACUGAGACACGGCCCAG
Molecule: ribosomal RNA, 288 nt
Filed under: uncultured bacterium
Lineage: Bacteria
Description: partial 16S ribosomal RNA
Rfam family: Bacterial small subunit ribosomal RNA
Source: RNAcentral